RNAcentral lists this ribosomal RNA (363 nucleotides) under Triticum aestivum (bread wheat). Its description in RNAcentral is "partial small subunit ribosomal RNA". Lineage: Eukaryota; Viridiplantae; Streptophyta; Magnoliopsida; Poales; Poaceae. The record is from RNAcentral.
AUGUCCCCUCCGUCCUCCUCCCGCGACGCGCGUCACGGGAGAAACCCUUGUGCCGCCGCCGCCGGGACCCCCUCCUCAUCCCCUUCUCCCCUCCCCUGCCGCCGCCUGCGAGCAAGGCUGGCGAAGCCCGGUCGGCUCCGGCGGUGUGUGUGUGUGGGGGGGGGGGGGUCUUCCCUUCACCGUGUGGCCGCAUGUGGCGCAGGAUGGCGUGGCCGGCGAAGGUGCCGUGCGAGUAGGGGGGACGACGACGUGGCAUCUGAGUGUGGGGCGGCGACGCCUGGCCAGGUGCUCGUACGGGUGGCUCUACGGCGGGGGGUGGCUGCGAUGUUGCCGGCGGCUGUGUUUGUGCGCGCCCAGAUCUAG